UUAAUUGGAUAAUAACCUCAUGAUUAAUUGUCGGGCUCACUUUCAAUAGGCUCAGUGAUAUGCUUCCGGUUAGACUAAUUUCCCAUUUUCUUGGUUGACAAAUUUUGGCCAGACGAUUGCGAGCCUUGAUGAACGACGGCGCUACUAGGCCGUAUAGAAAGCACAGCCCAGCCGAUAUAAUCACGCGGGAAAAUUUAAACGCAUUCAGGUGACCUCUGCGUAAUCUUCGUAUAGACAGACGGUGCCGCCUACAUUGCUGAUUUUUUUUUACCAUGCCGAAACCAAAUUGCUACAACGUUAGAAGCUGUCGCCGGCACGUCGUGCGGCAAUAAUUAGAUAUUUGUAGACAGGGUGCGGUGCGGUGCGUCAAAUGAUGGCAUAGAUGGCACUCGCGCUAACGUGAAACAAGCUUAACAACGAAAUCCGCAUGAGUCGCUCCUUGCUUCGAAUUUGCUUUUAGACGAGCAUCCGCACAUAUUGACGAUACGCUUCCUGUAGUCCUUAAAGACCGUCAAAGAUCGCUAGGUAAAUAAUCAAGGCAUAGCGGCAAACCCAUUCGGCGUGCAGUGUCACCCGUUUUAAUAUCUUCAGUGGGAUCAAGCAAAGUCUGAUCCGUAUUGCAACUUGCUGCAGAAAGAGAAGGCUUAUGGAAAAACAAAAUGAUGACGAACAAAGCUGUAAACCCUUUCGGCCCGUCACCAGGCUGGCACCGCCAUUUUGGCCAUGAAGAGCGUCCUAAUUGCAGUGUCCAUUACAAACAUCGUCGCCUUACUCGAAAAAGCCGAGGAUGACGGAGAAGCAGUUGAAAGAACGACAACACAACACUGUAAUGGAAACGACGCCGAGCGAGUGACAAAUAAACCAACGGGGUACUCCCUUCAUACCAAAGUUAUUGUGGCAAACGCUUAUACCUACCGCGGUAGCAGCAAUGAAGACCAUGACGCGUAUAAAAACGGUGAUUUUCGCAAACGCUCUUCAAGCCUUGCUUUACUUUUACGCGUUCGUGAGUAAAUCCCUAAUAAUCAUCUGUUAAUGUCGAGACAGGCUGAUUCCAAGAAUGAGGAAAAGACUGUUAGAUGACCUGGUUAGCGAGCUGCUUGGUCGCCGUAGCAGCCGGAUGACGUGCGUUGUCUCGACCUUCAC
Varroa destructor (honeybee mite) is the source of this 1143-nucleotide long non-coding RNA. Lineage: Eukaryota; Metazoa; Arthropoda; Arachnida; Mesostigmata; Varroidae. The record is from RefSeq and is a predicted model, not a curated record.